UGUGCUCGAUGAAUUAGGUUUCGAUCUACUGUUUCGCCUUCGGAGAAACCCCUGCGUUCUCCUGUAAAUCACGCGAGACUGAGAGGUACGAUGGGAGGAGCGACCAGGGUAUAAGAAGGGAACCACGAGCGAGAGAGAAGAGGACUGCGGGGAGACUGUGAGAAGGAGAUAUGGCGAGGGGUACUGCGAGAGGAGCAGAGAGAAGGCCAGGGAAGUAAGAAAGACAGGGAAAAGGAAAACAUGUAAAAGUAGGAAAAGGAUAAAGGAAAAAUAAAGAAGCAAACGCUAGCGUCAAGUCGUCUCAAGCCCCUCAUUUCAAUCCUCAGCCCUUCUCUUUUCGUGCCUCCGAAUCCCGUGGGUCGGGACAGGUGGCGCCCAGCGUGGGGCACGAAAAAGAACGAAGGAACCGCUGAAGGACCAGCUGUGGUGAGCUGGCAAGUAAAGUAAGGAAAGGUAGCUGGGAUCAUGGGCAAUUCAAUGUCCAAGGGACAGUUAGUUAUUUCCCUGGAAGCUCUCCUAAAAGAGUUUGGGGUUCCUCUCAGUAGAAAAUUCUUAAAGGAUUUGUAGAGACCCUUAGUAUCACUAGUAAAUGGUUUCUGAAGCAGGAUCAGGUCGAUAGUGACAAUUGGAAUAAGGUGAAAGGAGAUAUUGUCUUGCAUCAGCAAUUAUAUGGCCUUGAAUCUCUUCCUGGCACUACUUUGACAGUCUGGAGAGUGGUGGGAGAUGCUCUUAAUGCUGGUGGCACUGCUGCCACUCAGCCACUGAGGCCGUCAGGACAGCGAGACAACGGAGGAAGAAGAUAGAAGUUGCAUUAAGAGUUCUACAUCGCAGCUGGAUGGUCAGCCUGGAAGGCAAUAGGAGAUAGAGGAGGAGCCGACAUUCAAUUAACAAAGGUCAUUCAAGGGUCAACAGAACCUUAUGCGGAGUUCCUAGCAAGAUUGAUGACUGCAGCUGGCAGAAUACUAGGUACCCAGGGGCGGUCAGCUGCUGAUCGGCACUGGUCGCCAGACCCUUGGCAGGUCACGAUGCUGCAAGCGAGAUGGAAGGAUCAGGUCAAUAAUGAGUGGCAACCACCCGCGCCAGUAUUAAUACAGCUGCCAGGCAGCAUUUGUCUUUUCCCACAGGAUGCAGAAGCACCCCGAUGGGUUCCUGCUCGAUUGGUUCGGUUUGUCAAUAUACCUGACCCUGCUAACCUUGAUGACACAAGCGUCCCAGAUGUUAGUACGAUGGGCAAUUGUGCAUCAGCUGCCUUUUUUGCUCCUCAUUGAUCGUCAUGAUUCCACUUUUCCGCAAGUAUUUGCCAUUAAUCUUAAUAUUGGUCUAGCUUCCAAGCCAUUGGAUAGUGCCCUGUUGGGCCAGGGUGAGGUGAAAUUAUUUAAUGGCAUUUAUUCUGCAAACAUUAGUUCUACCAUUGAAUAAUCUGUUAGUAUUCAGAAUAAUAGAUUAUAGAGUAUGUCUACUGCUGUCUGUCUGUCCCCUCCUUUCUUUUUUGUCCUCCCCAAUAAUGCAGGAAAUGCCACUGUGUUGAACUGUUCAGCGGAGACCUGCGCCCUCUCUGCCUGCUGGGCCCGGAGUGUGGAGAGGGCGGUGAUCAUUCGUCUACCUUCUAUUUUAGUCAUGCCCGUGGAUGUUUCUGCACACCUUUCCCCUGUUCUACCUAGGAGGAGACGUGAUUUUAGCAUCACUGCAGCUAUUGUUGCCAUUUCAAUAGCGGUGGCUGCGGCUACUGCCGCCGUUGCUGUCACUCAAGCUGCUGUAAAUACGGACACUAUGGACAAUUUAGCUGCCAGUGUUGCUUCUGCGUUGUCAACACAGUAAUAUAUGAAUGGACAUUUGCAGAAUGGACUUUUGUGCUUGGUCAGCGGACACCUCUAAUGUAAAAAGGGAUAGACACACUUUUGUUAAUUGCUCACAUACCUUGUAACCCUCUGUACAGUUUUAUUUGUGUUACCCCUGUUACGGGUGAGGGUCUCAUUGCCUGGCUUAAAGGACUCCUCCCAGAGUUGCAAGCUUGGGGCAGGGUGGUAGCCCUAGCUCUUGGCUGUUUGUGCCUUCAGUGUAUGGUUUCUCCGUCGGCUACGGAGGCAAAACAAAGAGCUAUUGUGCUAUGGCGGUCAGGCAAGUACUUGGCGCCAUGGUACUUGACCAGGACUCCCCAGUGGCAUCCGGAUGGGUCAACUUAGCCCUAGAGAACCUGAAAGCCAAAGAUGGGUAAGAGCGUAGCCCGUCCAGACCAACCUAAGACAGCGGUCCGGACCAAGUGUGCCGGAUUAGCGAUGACGGGUAAGGCUGGAUAUGGGAUGCGCCAACUUAAGACAGGCCAGGUGUCUCAUUUAAAAGAAAAAAGGGGGAGAUGUUCGGAGCCACCUGCAGCAUGCGCCGUGUUGCACAUGUGCUCGAUGAAUUAGGUUUCGAUCUACUGUUUCGCCUUCGGAGAAACCCCUGUGUUCUCCUGUAAAUCACGCGAGACUGAGAGGUACGAUGGGAGGAGCGACCAGGGUAUAAGAAGGGAACCACGAGAGAGAGAGAGAGACUGCGAGGAGACUGUGAGAAGGAGAUAUGGCGAGGGGUACUGCGAGAGGAGCAGAGAGAAGGCCAGGGAAGUAAGAAAGACAGGGAAAAGGAAAACAUGUAAAAGUAGGAAAAGGAUAAAGGAAAAAUAAAGAAGCAAACGCUAGCGUCAAGUUGUCAAGCCCCUCAUUUCAAUCCUCAGCCCUUCUCUUUUCGUGCCUCCAAAUCCCGCGGGUCGGGACACAACACCUCAUCUCUAACUGGCUUCUUUAUAGUAAAUUAAACAAAGUUAAUUAUCAGUGAACAGCUUUCAUGCCAACCAUUGACUACUUCUGGGAGCUCCAUGGAGCCCCAUCUCCCUGACAGCCCCCCUCCACUGGGAUGGGGAUUUGGAGCACUUCAUUGCCUCUGAGAUGGCUCAGUCUCUGACAGAAACCGCAUCCAUCAUUCAUUCAGCUACCUCCUGGACUGGGAAGGUAAAUCAGAGAACACAGGUGUGUAGGGUAAAUGGUUAUCAGGCUUUUCUGCCCUCCCACCAUUAGGAUUGCCCUGCCUGAUAGGGCACCUGCAGUUGUUACAUUGUUGUGUUGUUUACUUUUGUGGGCACUGGGAGGAGUAUUGGAGAUAGUCACUAGGAGAAGCAGAAGCAGGAGGAGAGGCAGGAGAGAGAAGGGGAGAAAAAAGCCAGAGAAGCCCAGAGUGAAGACUUGCUGUGGGCUUGGAGGCCUGCCCGUCUCCUGGCCCCCCGGCACCCUUGCCCGCCGUGUGCCUGUUUGCCACACUACAUGUAAAGCUCAAUAAAAGCCUGAGAAAGCCACCAAGGGCUCCAGGACUCUC
This is a long non-coding RNA of Talpa occidentalis (Iberian mole), 3348 nucleotides long. RefSeq lists it as uncharacterized. The transcript has 3 exons. The record is from RefSeq and is a predicted model, not a curated record. Lineage: Eukaryota; Metazoa; Chordata; Mammalia; Eulipotyphla; Talpidae.